GGGACUAUGGCGGAAUUGGUAUACGCGCUAGCCUUAGGUGUUAGUAUCUUGGGAGUUCGACUCUCCCUAGUCCCACCA
This 78-nucleotide transfer RNA is filed under the name Proteus phage Stubb. RNAcentral describes it as "tRNA-Leu". It matches the Rfam family "tRNA". From Rfam's summary of the family: Transfer RNA (tRNA) molecules are approximately 80 nucleotides in length. Their secondary structure includes four short double-helical elements and three loops (D, anti-codon, and T loops). Lineage: Duplodnaviria; Heunggongvirae; Uroviricota; Caudoviricetes; Demerecviridae. The record is from RNAcentral.